Molecule: ribosomal RNA, 253 nt
Filed under: uncultured bacterium
Lineage: Bacteria
Description: partial 16S ribosomal RNA
Rfam family: Bacterial small subunit ribosomal RNA
Source: RNAcentral
UACGAAGGGGGCUAGCGUUGCUCGGAAUCACUGGGCGUAAAGGGUGCGUAGGUGGCGCCGUAAGUCGGGUGUGAAAUUUCGGAGCUUAACUCCGAAACUGCAUUCGAUACUGCGGUGCUUGAGGACUGGAGAGGAGACUGGAAUUCAUGGUGUAGCAGUGAAAUGCGUAGAGAUCAUGAGGAAGACCAGUGGCGAAGGCGGGUCUCUGGACAGUUCCUGACACUGAGGCACGAAGGCCAGGGGAGCAAACGGG